UCGUGUCGUGAGAUGUUGGGUUAAGUCCCGCAACGAGCGCAACCCUUAUUGCUAGUUACCAUCAUUAAGUUGGGGACUCUAGCGAGACUGCCAGUGAUAAACUGGAGGAAGGUGGGGGAUGACGUCAAAUCAUCAUGCCCCUUAUGACCUGGGCUACAAACGUGAUACAAUGGCUGAAACAAAGGGCAGCGAAGGAGCGAUCUGGAGCGAAACCCAAAAAAGCAGUCUCAGUUCGGAUUGAAGUCUGCAACUCGACUUCAUGAAGUCGGAAUCGCUAGUAAUCGCGGAUCAGAACGCCGCGGUGAAUACGUUCUCGGGGUUU
This 322-nucleotide ribosomal RNA is filed under the name uncultured Acholeplasma sp. Its description in RNAcentral is "bacterial SSU rRNA". It matches the Rfam family "Bacterial small subunit ribosomal RNA", at positions 1060 to 1382 of the family's 1533-position model. The record is from RNAcentral. Lineage: Bacteria; Bacillati; Mycoplasmatota; Mollicutes; Acholeplasmatales; Acholeplasmataceae.